RNAcentral lists this ribosomal RNA (467 nucleotides) under uncultured bacterium. RNAcentral's name for it is "partial 16S ribosomal RNA". It matches the Rfam family "Bacterial small subunit ribosomal RNA", at positions 28 to 507 of the family's 1533-position model. The record is from RNAcentral.
GAUGAACGCUGACAGAAUGCUUAACACAUGCAAGUCAACUUGAAUUUGGGUUUUUAACUUCGGUUUGGGUGGCGGACGGGUGAGUAACGCGUAAAGAACUUGCCUCACAGCUAGGGACAACAUUUGGAAACGAAUGCUAAUACCUAAUAUUAUGAUAAUAGGGCAUCCUAUAAUUAUGAAAGCUAUAAGCGCUGUGAGAGAGCUUUGCGUCCCAUUAGCUAGUUGGAGAGGUAACGGCUCACCAAGGCGAUGAUGGGUAGCCGGCCUGAGAGGGUGAUCGGCCACAAGGGGACUGAGACACGGCCCUUACUCCUACGGGAGGCAGCAGUGGGGAAUAUUGGACAAUGGACCGAGAGUCUGAUCCAGCAAUUCUGUGUGCACGAUGAAGUUUUUCGGAAUGUAAAGUGCUUUCAGUUGGGAAGAAACAAAUGACGGUACCAACAGAAGAAGUGACGGCUAAAUACGUG